UAUAAAAUAAUCACUGGAUUUGGCACAGUUUAUAAGGAACAGCAAGAACUGACAUGCUUUCACCAUGAAAACACCACGUCACUGGCUCUAUUUCAGCAGGCAUUGAAAACAGCAGAAUACAGCCAAAGGAUCAUCCAGGAUGGAGACAGGGAAAUCAAACAUGCACAUCUUCACAGGCUGAGCCAGGGCUUUAUGCAGGUUGAACAGAGAUUUGGGCUCCAUCUUACCCGAUGGAGAGAGUGCAGGCUGCUGUCCAGGCGCCUGCUUCAUAUUAGGGGAAUGCUGCUCCCACUCGUCUGCUCUCUCAUUGAUACACAACUCCCUCUCUCCCUCCCUCCCCCUCUCUCUCUCUCUC
RNAcentral lists this long non-coding RNA (355 nucleotides) under Carassius auratus (goldfish). Its description in RNAcentral is "lncRNA (ENSCARG00000041952.1)". Lineage: Eukaryota; Metazoa; Chordata; Actinopteri; Cypriniformes; Cyprinidae. The record is from RNAcentral.